GAUGAACGCUGGCGGCGUGCUUAACACAUGCAAGUCGAACGAAGCACUUAAGUUUGAAUCUUCGGAUGAAGACUUUUGUGACUGAGUGGCGGACGGGUGAGUAACGCGUGAGCAAUCUGCCUUUCAGAGGGGGAUAACAGCCGGAAACGGCUGCUAAUACCGCAUAAUGCAUCGGAUUCGCAUGUUUCUGAUGCCAAAGAUUAUAUCGCUUGAAGAUGGACUCGCGUCCGAUUAGCCAGUUGGCGGGGUAACGGCCCACCAAAGCGACGAUCGGUAGCCGGACUGAGAGGUUGAACGGCCACAUUGGGACUGAGACACGGCCCAG
Molecule: ribosomal RNA, 325 nt
Filed under: uncultured bacterium
Lineage: Bacteria
Description: bacterial SSU rRNA
Rfam family: Bacterial small subunit ribosomal RNA
Source: RNAcentral